RNAcentral lists this ribosomal RNA (433 nucleotides) under Stenotrophomonas sp. LL88. RNAcentral's name for it is "bacterial SSU rRNA". It matches the Rfam family "Bacterial small subunit ribosomal RNA", at positions 75 to 507 of the family's 1533-position model. Lineage: Bacteria; Pseudomonadati; Pseudomonadota; Gammaproteobacteria; Lysobacterales; Lysobacteraceae. The record is from RNAcentral.
GCUCUUAUGGGUGGGGAGUGGCGGACGGGUGAGGAAUACAUCGGAAUCUACUUUUUCGUGGGGGAUAACGUAGGGAAACUUACGCUAAUACCGCAUACGACCUUCGGGUGAAAGCAGGGGACCUUCGGGCCUUGCGCGAUUGAAUGAGCCGAUGUCGGAUUAGCUAGUUGGCGGGGUAAAGGCCCACCAAGGCGACGAUCCGUAGCUGGUCUGAGAGGAUGAUCAGCCACACUGGAACUGAGACACGGUCCAGACUCCUACGGGAGGCAGCAGUGGGGAAUAUUGGACAAUGGGCGCAAGCCUGAUCCAGCCAUACCGCGUGGGUGAAGAAGGCCUUCGGGUUGUAAAGCCCUUUUGUUGGGAAAGAAAUGCAGCGGGCUAAUACCCUGCUGUUCUGACGGUACCCAAAGAAUAAGCACCGGCUAACUUAGUG